Mytilus trossulus (common blue mussel) is the source of this 1620-nucleotide long non-coding RNA. RefSeq lists it as uncharacterized. NCBI's taxonomy places the organism in Eukaryota, Metazoa, Mollusca, Bivalvia, Mytilida, Mytilidae. The transcript is spliced from 2 exons. The record is from RefSeq and is a predicted model, not a curated record.
AGAGAAGCCUUGAACCUAAAUUUGAUAAAAAAUUUGCAAGUCUUGAAAUCUUGCUUGUCAAUAUUAUUUGAGUCAGUUAUCUAACUGCAUUUGUAUGAAAUAAUUUGAUAAAACUUUGUGUAUAUAAUGUUUAGGAUUAAAGUGUUAUGUUGUUUUUAUAUUUUUGUAUAUAACUUUCAUGUAAAUUGAUAAUAUUCACUGAUAUUUUUUUGAUUUUAUUAAUAUUCAUUAGUCGUAUUGGUCUUGUUUAACAAUUGUUUUGUUUUCAAAUUCCUAUCGCUAAAUUUGCAAGUUCCACUGUUCAAAUUUGUUAUUGUUAAUUCUAAUUUUGAACCUCAUCUUUUUGUGCAUUUCAGGUAUAUUGGGGCUUGAUAUAUUGAAAUCUUAUCAAAGAGAGAUAACUCUUAAAAUUGGAGCUAUUGGAAAGAACUGCAUUAAUUAUAAUCACUAUAUUUCUUUUAAUAGGACUAUUGAAUGGCUGUUCUUGAUGUUUAUUUUAACUAGACACCAAAGGAGAUUAGCAAAUACUUAUGUAUAAUGCUAGAUCUGUAAUGUACAUGUUUUUAUGCCUUUUUUUCAGAUAGCAUCAUCUAUUAUCAUAGAUAUUUUUCUGUUAUUAUGUUUGUACCACAAAUGAUCAAGAACAAUUAUCUUCACUAAUUUGCUUUAUGCUUUGUACAAGUUUCAGAUCUGUAAAUACUGGUUUGAGAAAAUUUUAUGUUGGAUGUACAGAUAAUAAAGGUAAGUGAAUUGGAAUAUAGAGAUAUUGGUUUGCUGUCUUUGAAGGAUUUUCCAUGGAUAGUGAAUGAACAUUUUAAUCAAAAAUAAGAUAUAUGAUAUCUUGCAUAGUAUUUUUCUCUAUAUGUUUUUGUAAUUUGCCACUUUAAAAAAAAAAAAAUUAAAUUCUUGGAUAAUCAUCUCUGAGAGACAAAAUUAAAUUAAUAAAAAUCUGAAGAGGUUCAAAUGUGCUCAAAAAAAUAAUUGUGAAAAAGUUUAGUACAUUACAAGAUAUUCUUUGAAAAGUUCAAAGGAGAGAAGUUUUUAAAGAUUGAAUGUUUAGUAUAGUUAGCACAAACAUGUGUUUACUUAGAAAGAUGUGCUUAUUACAUGUCAUUAUUAUUUCAUGUUUUAAUGAUUCAGGUAAUAUUUUGUGUUGUCUUAUUUGUGAAUGCUUGUCAUUCUGUAUCGUCUUGGGAAAGUUGGUAUUGCACCUUUAGUACCUCUAUGUGUGAAUGCUGGUCAUUUUGUAUCGUCUUGGGAAAGUUGGUAUUGCACCUUUAGUACCUACUGUGAAUGCUGGUCAUUCAGUCUUUUUUUGUGAAUAUUACCAGUUCAUUAUUUAUUGAUGUAAUAAUCUUCUUUUCAUACAUCAUACAUGUAUACAUUUGUGACCAGAUCUGGCAGAUCAUCAAUUUUCUUUUCAAAAAGAAUUUGCUGAAACAGGACAACAUACCUUUUUUUGUGUUUUAUUCGAAAAAUAAUAAACCUCUUAUUUGGUCCAACAGAUAUUUGGCGCUUUUUAGGUGAUCUUCUGAAAAUGUGGCAAGUUGUAUAAGAUGUGUAUAGUACCAUGUGUUUCAAUUUACAAUGUUCUUGUAGUUCAAUAAAUUGUUCAUCAGA